UGACUAGUUAGAGUUGUUUAGUUUAGCAGUAAGGUGUUUGGUUGUUCUCUAUUGUCGGGGCAUAGUUGAAAAAAGGUGGAGUUUAGUAUUAGGGGAUGAAUAGGUUAUGGAGGUAUAGUCAGCUGGCCUGUUAAUUCUGUAGCAUAAACUAGGAUUAGAUACCCUAUUAUAUACGGAGGAGAAAUAAUAAUGAAAAGAAGGACUUGAGUAGUACGAAGUUAUGAUCUUGAAAUUCAAAGAAUUUGGCGGUACCUAAGUCCAGUUAGAGGAACUUGUGCCGUAAUCGAUGAACCGCGAGUAUCUUUCUUUAUUUGGUCUUCAGUUUGUAUAUCGCCAUUAUCAGGUAAAGUUGAGAGGUAAUUAUCGUGAGAGAGUGUUUUAGUAUAUUAGGUCAAGAUGCAGUUUAUAAUAAAGGGUGCAUGGGUUACAAUUUAAUUUAUAAAUAUGGAUAAAUCUUUGAAAAGGGGUUUUGAAGGUGGAUUUAAUAGUAUGUUGGAUAUAUUAAGUAUAGUUGAUAUGAGCUCUUAGGUAUGUACAUAUCGCCCGUCGUUCUCAUUGA
RNAcentral lists this ribosomal RNA (559 nucleotides) under Automate dolichognatha. Its description in RNAcentral is "partial small subunit ribosomal RNA". The stretch from base 206 to 559 matches the Rfam family "Microsporidia small subunit ribosomal RNA", at positions 752 to 1211 of the family's 1311-position model. The record is from RNAcentral. Lineage: Eukaryota; Metazoa; Arthropoda; Malacostraca; Decapoda; Alpheidae.